AGAAAAGGACAGGCUAUGCAGCGUGCUAUUCAACAUGGCGGAGAACGCAGUUCAUCUCUAAUUGACAAGAAUUUCACGAGUUGACCAAUCAGAGGGAGAAUACUUAUUUGUCCCGCCCUCCUGUUUCUCGACUGACCAGCGGAACUGGAGAGUUGCUGUGAUGAACACUACGUAUGAAAGCAAGAGCUCGUCUCACCUAAGGCAUCUCUCCACGCCUGAGAUUAGUAACAGUGCCAUCAUUUAUUUUUGAAAAGCAGAAUUCUAUUUAUUUCUACAAAAAGAAGCCUUGCAAAAGUAAGAAGCAAAUAGAAAUCCUUGACAAAAGAGUAGUCACUUCAAAUUAAAUCCCAUAUUACUUAAUAGCUUGGCUUUUUAUGUUUGCCUUUAAAAAAAUAUUUCUGUCUUUCUUCAGUAAUAAAAAGUAUUUUAUCUUAUAUUCUACCUACCUUUCUGCAGAAGCUUGGUACAGGAGUCUAAGAGAGAGCCAGCAAUGAUGACGACCGACGUGGUGCCAUCCCCUGCUUCUAUGUCUUGAGCUUUGGACAGUUCCACCAGCUAUGUGAACAGAACAUGCCAAGAUGCUAAGAAAUGAGAACCCAGUAACAUCUAACUCAAAACACUUGUUUUCUAAGAACUGUCAACGUAGCUCAGUAGUGUAUAGUUCUUGGUGAGCUUGCAUGAUGCCAUGGAUUCAGUCCAUAGCAAAAACCAAAAAAGCAAAAUGAAAAAGCCCCCAAGCUCUCUUAUAGAACACCUCACACCCAGAGAACAGUAUCUUAGAAAUGUACGUUUUUAGCAUAAAGAUAAAGGAUUCUCCAGUUUAAAUAGUAUCAAAGUUAACUCUAUUGAGUAUCAUACAAGUACACUUGACAGCACAUGCCCACGAAUAUAAUCCCCAGCACUCAGGAUGAAGCUGGCUGGCUGCCAAGUCCAAGGGUACACAGUGCGUACCAGGUCACUGGGCUACUGACCGAGAUCGUGUCUCCUGUACACUUACCAUUCUGGCUGCUGGGUGUAAUACUUGCAUUUGUUUCAGAAUGGUGGCACCAUCAUUGGUAAUGGUCACAUCGCCUUUUCCGUCUUGAAUCUGGAACGUUGGUUUUUUAAAACUUUAAUGCAGUAUUCUACCAGCUCUAUUCCAUUUACUAUUACAUACAACUUAGUUUAUUAUGUAUGCUGCUUAACUUAAUAUUCAUUCAUUAGUAAACCAGUAAAAACAUUCAGAACAACUCAACUUUGUAAAGUAAGUGACUGGCUCUGCCUGGGUAGCUUGAUCACAUUUAAGUGUGUGUAUAUACAUAACUGAGCACAGUGCUCAGAGACCAGGAGUAUCAGACCCUCUAUCUAGUGAUGGAAACGCAGCCUGGGCCCCUGUAGAAGCAGUAUGCGUCCAUCUCUCUGGCCCCUGCUCACUCAGGGUAUGUAAAGUAGUCUGGAGGUAAAGCUCAUUCAGGAAAGUGCCUACUGCUCAAGCAUGAGGACCUCGGCUCAGAUCCCCCAAAUUCCUUGGCUAGCCAUAUUGGUCUGUCUCCGGCUUGGUUGCUAACUAGCUCUCAAUCUUAGGACGCACCAAUCCAAAUUAGACUCUAUCUGCUUUACACUGCCAGUUAGUUAAGAAAAAAAGUUUAAAUAGUUGAACUGGGCGCAGCGGCUCACACUUGUACUCCUAGCAUUCCAGAAGCUGAGGCACAGCGGUAAGCUCAGGUUUCAAAAUAAAUGAACAGUCAAACGUGCUAGCACAGCCUGUGACCCCAGCACUUCAAGCAGAAGCAAGAGGACCAAGGGACAGUCUCAAUCCAAAAAGCAUUAAAAUAUACAGUUAAAUACUAUACUACCUAAGUAAUCUCUCCUCUUGAUGAAUUGACUUUGGAGGGAUCUGAGGAAGAAGAGGUGGUAUUAUAAGGCACUACACACGGACUCAACCCUAGGGCCUUGUUCCACCCUAAGCAAGUGUUCUACCACAGAUGUCAGCCCUGAAACAGCACCACCUUUCAUCUGACUGUGAAUGUGAACACAAGUUCUCAACAAGUAAUGAGUUAUUUAAAUUUUUUACCAUUUUGUCCAUUCCUUUAGGUCCAAGGCUUGUUCUAAUGGCAUCGGCAACCGCUGUUAAAAAAGAAGAGUAACAAAAGUCAUACAUUAAACCAAGACUUAAAGAAAAAGGCAAAAGCAUUUUGUUUCAAAGUUGCUCUUUAGGAUAUGGUAUAUACCAGCUUACUAUGCCUCUAAAACUUCAUGCCUAAUAACAACCCUAAUAGACACUAGACCACUUCACAUGUGCUAGGUCUAUGUAGAGCAAAAUUUCAAAAUUCCUGUGAGAAUCAAAAUGGCACAAUCUAGUCUUAAGUUCUUAGUGUUAUUUCUUCUUUCAUUUAACAGUACAAGCAGCAGCAAACAGCUAAAACCCGAGUGUUGUACACAGCACAUUCAUUAGCUUUUCCUCUCCCCAACAAAACAUAAUCCGCUGAGAACACACAUGUGGGACCCAUAGUCUAAUAAUUCGUCUAUGUCUCUUAACUAGUAUGCUUUUGCCCACAUCAGGUAAAGAAUAAUUUAACAGAUAUACCUCGUAUAAUACUAAUAUUUUACAUAUGUCAUGACUUUGGUCUAGCAGUCAUAAUCAAAGUUUCAGAUGAUUUUAGUGGACCUGUUUCAAGAUAUUCACUACUCCAAAAAAUACCGUAUUUCAGACUCUACAUUUCUAGAAGGUCUGUAAGACAAGCUAGUGACUGUUAAAUGGUUCACACUGAGCUAGCAGUAUUUUCUGUCUGUGAAGUCUUCCUCACCAUUAAGCAAGUACCACUGUCUUUUUUUCAGAGGGGACGGAUAACUCCAAAAUGAACUAAACUCCAGCUGUAUCUGGAAGAAGCCUUUCUUACUCCCUAGGGUUUUGUUCUAACUUGGAAAAACUAGUUUGCCCUUUGCUCUUUUAGUAACUAGAUAGCUUUACAGGCAAUUUGGUAACCAAUCCUUCCUACGUGCACGACUCCUGUCCUGUUUUAAUUUUUGUGCUUUUGACAGGUGCUGGAUAGUUUAUAUCAAGUUGACCCAAGCAAACUAAAGUCAUCUCAGAGGAGGGAAUCUUGAUUAAGAAAAAGUCAAUUGCAGGCAAGCUUGUAGGGCAUGUUCUUAGUGAUUGAGGGGAAGAGUUCAGUCUAUAGUGGGUGGGUGGGGCUAUCCCUAGGCUGGUGGUCCUGGGCUGGUAAGAAAGCAGGUUGAAGGGCUGGAGAUGAUGGCUCAGCAGAUGGAUAAGAGCACUGGCUGCUCUUCCAGAGUUCCUGAGUUCAAUUCCCAGCACCCAGCAACCAUAUAUAACCACGGUCCUGUGGGAUCCAAUCCUUCUGGUGUGCAAAUAUACAGACGAAACACCCAUAUACAUAAAUUACAUAAAUAAAUCCAUCUUUAAAAAAGGUUACUCUGUAAUCUGUUUUUUCACAGUAAUAGAAACCCUAGCAAAGAUGGCUGCCUGAAGUAAAAACAUCCCAUUUUGUAUAUAGCAUACACUCUUUGGUCACUCAAUCGGCUCGAUUUUUCAACAUCCCAAUAACUCCACCACCACAUACAUAAUUAAUGAACCCAAUAAAUUUCUAGGUGUCAGGUAUUCACUCCAAACUUCCAAAAGACUCUUCGACCGACCACCUUGCCAACUUCUCCAACUCCUUAAGGUCCACCCUGCACCCUCACAGCACCAACACACUGCGGUCACCUGGGCUGGUUGACUGCAAUACUCCCAAGGUUUACUUCGUACAGGUUCACAUUUAAUUCUCCCAGCAACCCUGCAAAUAAACUGUUCCCUCACCCAACUUACAGCUUUAUUGAAAAUAAAGCCAAUGAUUCCCUGGGUUCCAGGACUUUCCAAAGACAGGACAGCAAUUUCACUUCUCGAAUCAUGCAUCUUUUUCUCCAACCCAAAUAAACCCUGGCAAUAUCUCUAAAAGCUUUGUUCUUAAUUUUCCUUCCAUAUUUUUUUUUCUUCUCCAGUUCGGUUUCUCUAAAUGUUCACAAUUACAGAAAGCAAAGAUUUAUCUUCCCCGGACUGAUAGUAAGGGAACUUUGGUUCAGAGGUCAAAAACAUGAAAUAACACAUGCAGAGAAUAAAACUCAGGCCUGUCUGUUUUUCAUCAUGUUCCCCACGUGCAGGUUAAGUGGAAUUUAUGCUGUCUAUCCACGGAACCAAAAAAGAAAGUUCAUUUAACUAUGCCGUCUACCACUAGGUUUAACGAACAGCCAAGCUUUAGUUCUGAAGCGUCAGAUCUCAAGGAUCAUUGCAUUUCAGCAUCUUAUACCAUCCGUUGUCCGCACCAACGUGACGAACACCGCCCAAGCCCGCAGGGGAUGAACUAGGGAGCACCGCGACCCACAAUGGGGCGUGUCCGAGGCCUCCACGCCGGAGUACUCAGUAGAAAGCUGCGCCCACCGGACGAGACCACCUCUGAAGGAACACAACCCACCCAAGGCUAAGGUCACAGUGAGAGGCUGGGCCGUAUUGCCGCUAGGCGGGCCGGCGAGGGGUGAUACCUUUGGCCGCGGAAAUGUUGCUGAAGCGGAUCUGGGCCGGUUUGUCGCGGUCCUGGUAGGCGCCUUUCCCGCGGUUGCCCGGCCCCGCUGCGGGCGGCCCGCUUCGGGAAGCUACGUUCUCCGGCAUGGCGACUUUGAUGGCGUCUGCGCGGGUUCAGGAGGACCGAUGGACACGGAUUCCGGCCUGCUGUGGAGUAACGGUCUCCCUGGCCGCCGCCUCCACGAACCUUCCAGAAAGCGACGCCGGGAGAGAAGGCGGAAGCCGAAGAAGGGGCCUGCGGUGGUGCCGGCGCAGAUAUGACGUCAGGGGCUGUCCGCCGCACGCCGGCCGCGGAGCUCGCGCGCGGAGAUCCCGGGAGCGGACAGUCAACCGGUCCCUGUGCCUGGGCGCUGAGAUGGAGCGGGAGGUUUUAAAGGCGUGACAGGUGCCAUUCUAUGUAGACCGGAGCCACUCGCUCCUGCUAGUCAUGUUGACGAAGCCGUGACAGCCCUGGCUUUGUUCCGGAGUGGGUGUGGCGCAGCCGGCAUUUUCCAGACAUCUAUAUCAAAAUUCUAAAUUUUAUUCCUAGUUUAUUCACUUUGCAAAGGUGUUGGAGGAAAAAUUUGCCAUGAAUAAGUUUCUUCCCUUGUGUAUAUAUUUUUUGCCUGCCUAGGGGUUUAAAUACACUGGUCAAAUGGCACAGAAUCUUAAUAGUUGUGGAGCUGUGACUGCCUGCCAAAUCCAGUCUGCCUUCUAGUUACGACCUCUUCCAUAAACGUAGCCACUGACUCUUAGGGAACAUAAACAUAGUAAUAACUGAUUAGUAGUUAUCUGCUGAACAAAGUGUGAAGCCUUUACACCCUUUACCUUACCUAUUCCUCCUCAUAAUCCCGUGAAAUAGGUGCCAUCGUCUUUGCUUUAUGGAUGAUGGCACUAAAGCCCAGGGUCAACCACAGUAAGGCGAUGGAAUCUGUCUCUAGGUAAACUUCCAAGGUUUCUAUAAGCACUAUCAUUGACUAGGGAAGUUUAUAUAGGUAAUACCUGUUCACUAGUAGUUCACAGUUAAUCAUUGAGAACCCAUAAGGUGCCACAUGCCUGCAGUAGGUUAAGGAAAAAUUGUUUUAUGGACUUAGUCCUGUGAUCACGAGGAGCUUUGACACGAACUCAGGCUAUUAAGACUAAGAUGAAGUUUUCAAGUCCUCCCCCACUGCACCACCCCCUCCAUCCGGGGGAUACAUCUUUUUCAAAGACUAGUUUACCCCUCCCUCACAGUACAUAAACAUUCUAUGGCAGUUGAGACAACUGGUUUAUAUGAAAAGAACAGGUGCUGGUACUGUGGUGGUUUGAGAUGACCCCCCCCCACCCCCAGUUUCAGACAAAUACUUGGUUCCCAGUGGGUAGCUCUGAUCAGAGAAGCUUAGAAGGUGUAGUCUUGCUGGAGUAAGUGUAUCACUGGGGACAGAAUUUGUUUCAAAAGUUGCCAGGCAUUCCCAGCUGCUUCCUGUUCACAAUUUGAGAUGUGAGCUGCCCCUGCCCCAUGUUUUCCCUGCAGUUCAAGUGUAAGUCCUGGAACCAUAACACCCCCACCCCCCCAAAAAUCUUCCUUCUAUAAAUUGCCUUCGUCGACAUGUGUUUGUUUUUGUUUUCGAGAUAAGGUUUCUCUGUGUAGCCUUGACUGUCCUGGAACUAACUCUCUGUAGACCAGGCUGACCUGAAACUCACAGCUAUCCACCUGCCUCAGCUUUCCAAGUGCUGGGAUUAAAGGCCUGUGUCACCGCCACCCGGCAUAGUCAUGGUGAUUUAGCGUUUUAUCACAGCAAUAGAGAAGUAACUAACACAAGUACUCUGACUUCUCCUGCCCCUAAAAGCAGGAGACAAAACUACCACCUGAAAGGGGCCUUCACUGUGCUGCAGGAAGACACUUCUUCCCAGGGACAGGGAAGCAGAAUGAAAGAGGUCCAAGCCAAUCUCUGCCAAUCAUGCUGGAAAUCUGAGUUCACUGCCUCAUGCACGGAUGUUUCAGGGAAUUCUUCUUUUCUGCAAUAGUUGGAUUUAUCUAUGGUUUCCUGACCGAACGGCCUGGGUGGACUGUCUGCAUAGUUUGCUUUCUUGUGUUUGUUGACAUUUUCUCCGUGGCCCAUCUGUCACUGACAUCCCUUGAAGUGGUUACCUGUUCAGACUCUGGUACAGAAGACAGAAUCGGGGGACAGAAAAAUUAAGACACAUGCUGAAAGCAACUGAUUGGGGGCUUUCACCAUUCAGCACCUGUUUCAGGUGAGCUGAAUUGAUUUCACAGCAAAACAUGAUCUUAAACCCUCUAUGUUCUGACCAAGGGGAGGGGUAGUUAGCGCAAGCCCCUUUGUCGUAAGUCACUUUAUUAUUUUUCUCAUUAACAUAUGACUGUCUGGCUCAAACUUUUUUUUUUUUUUUUUGGUUCUUCAUUUCCUCCUCAAGUCUUUUAUGUCAGAUAAGACUUAGAUUUAUACAUUUUAUUUAUCUGUCUUUGUUGAAAAGUUCUAUCCAAAGAUGGGCAGUUGAUGGUGCAUGCCUUUUACACCCCCGCUCCCCCAGACUCAAGGGUUAAAAAAAAAAAAAAAAGGACCGGGAGCUAGAAAGAUGGACGCUUUGCUUUAAAACACAGUUUAGGACAUUUGUCACUCUUACAAAAGACCCGGGUUUGAUUCCCAGCACCCACACAGCUGGAUUACAAUCACCUAUCGCCCAGCUUCAAAGGAUCCAGCACCCUCUUCUGACCUCCACAGACACCGCACAUAUAUGAUGCACACGCAUUCCUGCAGGCAAAAAUACUCAUAAAAUAAAGAAAUAGCUGAGUGUGCGCCACCACCGCCUGGCACAGUCUACACUUUUAACGUUUAUAAAAAUAUCACUUCCUGCCCGGAACCACUUGCUUGCUGGCAUGUUUGGCCAUGAUUAGAGGGAAACCUGUGUGGAAGCGGGGCUGUUUAUCAGAUACCGGUUUCCCUUGGGGCUGAGCUUCUGGGUCUUUUCCUUGUUGCUGCUCUGUUCUGACGUUCUAAUGAGCAUCCUCUUAGCAUUUGUCCAGGUUUGUUAUCUAUAAAACCUGUGAUUUGAAAUUUAAUAAACGGUAACUGUGUUUUGAGCCUUUUGUUUGAAGAGCAUUCCUAAAACGCAGCUGGCGCCAAGCUGCAGCUGCAGCUAUGGCAAUAGCAGCCCCUGGUGGCAGAAGAGGGAAUUUCUUUUCUGGGUCAACCUGGUGAUUCGGAGUUGAGGUAGGCCAGGCUCACAAGGUUCUCUGACCAGGGGUACUUGGCAGAGCAUAGCACCACCCAAGUGCCACUUCGGCAUAAGAAUUAUUUCUAAUUUAAAGCAAUCAAGAAAGAGUAGGUGCCAAAAGUCUAUCAGCUGAACUAUAACUCGGUGAAGUAUUCACUCUAAAGCUGAGAGAUGGGACUGGCUGGAGAGACGGCUCAGGGCUUACGUGUGCUUACUGCUCUUACAGAGAGCAGCAUCCAGUGGUUCACAGCCUCCCGAAACUGUGAUUCCAGGAGUUGAGUAUCCUGACUUCCAUGGGUACCUGCCUGCAGGUGAAGCACAUGCACGCAUUCAGGCACAUGCUCAUAAAAUGAAAUGAACAGACAAAGCUUUCAUGAAAGAGAAAUGGAGCCAGAGAGGCAGCUCACUGGGGAAGGCUCUUGCCACCAAGCCUGACUCCUGAGUUCAGUCUCUGAGAUCCACAUGGUGGAAGAGAAUCCAUUCUUGUAAUUUGUUUUACAGUCUCCACAUGUAUGCUGUGGCAUGUGUACAGACAGGAACACACACACACACACACACACACACACACACAAAGAGAGAGAGAGAGAGAGAGAGAGAGAGAGAGAGAGAAUUUAAUAAAAAUUUAAUAAGUUAAAAACUACACGAUACCUUUUUCUAUGUGCCCCAUGACAACAGUAAUUUGGUCAUGGCCUUCCGGAUGAAGACUUACGCAUUAUCUGCUUAGUGGUGGCAUUUGGUCCCACCUUCCAUCUGUCUCUUCCGUCCAUUCUUUGCAACCUCCUUUCUUAUUCGUUUUGUUUGAGAUAGGCUUUCUCUAUAUAGCCCUGGUUUUCUUGGAACUACGGUGGAGAACAGGCUGGCCCUGCGUCUGCAUCCUGGGUGCUGGGACUAAAGACGUGCGUCACCACACCCUGGCUCUUUGCGCUCUGUAGGCGCAUUUAACACAAAAGUGUAGGGUCUUUAAGGUUGUUUUUCUUGGCUCCACAAAACAUUUUUGAAGACGCCUUUUAGAAAAAAUCACUUCUUUGGAAAGGUACACCUCGAAAUUUUUCUUUUGCAUACAUACAAUCAAACCACACACAAACAGUAAUUAAACCAGUCCAGACCAGUGGUUUUCUUUAGGUUGGUACUUUCUUGAAAGGAUCAGUUAGUUGUCACCUUAAUGGAUGGGUAGGAAUAGCCAAAGUUAAACUAAUCAGGAAUAUGAUACAGUCUGCUAUGCAGGGGACAUUUAUGAAGGUGAAAACCCAUUUGUGAAUUGUUAGAGCCUAAAUUUAACCCAAUUUUACAUGCAAACACACAUUUUAAGACUUACUUAUUUUAGUGGGUGUUUGCCUAGAUGCAUGUAUGUGUGUCACAUAUGUGCUUGGUGCCCAAAGAAGUCAAAAGAUGGCAUUGGGUUCCCUGAAACUGGAAUUACACAUGGUUUGUGGGCCAUCUUGCGGGUGCUGGGAACUGAACCUGUGUCCCGUGAAAGAGCAACAAGUGCUCUUAACCAAGGAGAAGUCUUUCCAAAACCAAGCACAUAUUCUUAGCUUGGUUUUGAUAUACAGACCAGAUCUCUGGCUUGCAGUGACUGCAAACUGAGGAAAGAAUGUUUUUCUCUUUGUAACCUCCACCCAUCUUUAUCCACAUUUAGAAACGCCAUGCUAACAGUAGCAACUGCUUUUCCCUGGAGUUCGGGCUAUUACACACCUGUGUCAACUUAAUUCCAUGUAACAGUACAUGCACCUGUGUGAGGUCUUUACAGAUUAUAACAGAGGAGAGAACACGUGUGGAGAGCUUUUGGGGCCCACCUUCUAGGAAUUUGGCAGGACUUUGGCAUUGGGCUAGGACAAGAAAGUAGGCUUAAGAUGAACACAGCUGGGGAAUGCAUUCUUUGUAUCGUGAUGGGUCUUUUUAAGACCAUGAAUACAGGGGCUGGAGAGAUUGCUCAGUGGUUAAGACUGCUCCUCCAGGGGUUGGGGAUUUGGCUCAGUGGUAGAGCGCUUGCCUAGCAAGCACAAGGCCCUGGGUUCGGUCCCCAGCUCCGAAAAAAAAAAAAAAAAAAGAACCAAAAAAAAAAGACUGCUCCUCCAGAGGUCCUGAGUUCAAUUCCCAGCAACCACAUGGUGGCUCACAACCAUCUGUAAUGAGAUCUGAUGCCCUCUUCUGGUGUGUCUGAAGACAGCUACAGUGUACUCAUAUAAAGUGGAAUCCUGAAUGCAGUAAUCAUGGGAUCUUUGUUUAUGCCUUGUUUGUCCCUUGACUGCUUUGUUUAUGCCUUAGGACUGACCCUAUUCUAUGUAUGCACCUAGAAUGAUAUAAAAGCAGACUGGGGUCAUGUUAGUGUUGUCGGCUCCCUCCCUGGAAACCCUGUUGACUGACUGAGCUGGCUUGUCAGACACAGCUAGCAUUUUGAAGUCUGGGAUAUAGAACUCUACCUCCCAAUCAAUUGUGUUGGAGGCAAAGAGGUCCUCGUGCUCACAGGUAAGUACCAGGAAAAGCAGGAAUGUAAAACACAAGGAAAGAGAUGUAUAACAUGUUUCUGCUCAGAAGGCUGGGAAUGGAUGUGGUUAGUAGCCUGGUGACCUCUGUGCUGUCUGCAUGGCCGAGGCACAUCUGGCUCCCCCAGACUUUGUUAUCUCAUUUUCCCGAGAUGCUUGUUUGUUUUUGAGACUCAUGUACCUACAGAGUGCGAGCAUGUAGAGGCCAGCAUAUAAUAAAACCCUGCCUGGUCUGGAGUUCCCUAUGUAGCCCAGCCUGUCUUCUAACUUACAACUACCUGUCUCUACAUCCUGAAUAAAGGCAUAUGUUACCAUACCUGGCUCAAUAAGUUUUAUAUUGACAUUUUAGACAUAAUUAAAAAACUGAGCCAUUGUUUGUAUACUCUUAAGUCCUCAACACAGUAUAAGUUAUCCACAAAGUGAGUAUUUGGUCUUUCAUAUGGAUAUUUAAAAAUUAAAGCAAAUUCUCUGGUGCUGGAGAUCUUGCUAAGUGGUAGAGCACCUGCCUAGAACACACGGAGCUCUGCCUCUCAUCCUCUCAAAACACAACUGCAGAAAAUAAAAACUUAAGGGUCCUUUGGAAAGUCAGUGGGAUGGUUGAGGCAAGACACGUGGAGGACAUGUGAUAUUUGGAGGGCAUAAACAGGACUUCACAGAUAGCUUGGCUUGCUGAUACAGCUAGCUGUACACAACAACCUCUCCCUGACCCUCAGAUCCAUGUCUUUUGUAGAAGUCACGGUUCCAAACAUAUUCCCUUCAAAAUAAGAUGCAGGCGUUUGGUUACUUCACAUGUUGUCUGCUCACCAGGCUACAUAAUUGUGCUUGAAUGCAACCGGAGUUCAUAAUGUAUUAUUCUAUGUCCUUUUAUUUUAAUUUUUUUGUCUUUCGAGGCAAGGUUUCUCUGUGUGGUCCUAGCUGGUCUCAAACCCAGAGAGCCUCCUGCCCCUGACUCCAAGUCUAGGGAUUAAAGCCCAGUGUGCUAUUUUUUAAUUGUAGAUUACAAUUAGCUUAUAUUAAAUUUUAAAUUGGGAGCUAAUUUACAUAUUGUGAAACUGUCUUUUAUCGUACACAUAAAUGGAUACAGGACAAAGCCAGCCGUGUAAUUAUUACCAGUGGCUACUCACUGGCAUUUUCAUCAUCUGAAAAAAGAUCUUGUACCCAUUCAGUCAUUUCCCAUUCUUCCCUCCUUCAGUCCUUGGCAAAUGAAUUUUUGUAUGGAUUUGCUUAGUUUAGAUAUUGCAUAUAAAUAAGAUCAUCCAAUUGUC
Molecule: non-coding RNA, 11504 nt
Organism: Rattus norvegicus (Norway rat)
Lineage: Eukaryota; Metazoa; Chordata; Mammalia; Rodentia; Muridae
Source: RefSeq, a predicted model, not a curated record